GUUUUCUGUUAGACCAACGGAAGCUGAUUCACCAGCUCUUCCAGCAGGCAUUGAAGUUCUACCAAUCCAAAUUUUCCCACUCAUAAAGGUCCCUGUCGUCAGAAUCACUGACGGUGCAUAGAAGUUCAUUCCGAAGAAAGUACAGACCCCCUCAACGUUGUCAUUUUUCCCCAACAAAAUAUCUGUUACCAUUGCCUCUCUGAUAAAGAGGUUUGGGGUGCU
This 222-nucleotide unclassified non-coding RNA is filed under the name Hevea brasiliensis (rubber tree). Lineage: Eukaryota; Viridiplantae; Streptophyta; Magnoliopsida; Malpighiales; Euphorbiaceae. The record is from RNAcentral.